This 80-nucleotide transfer RNA is filed under the name Christensenia aesculifolia. RNAcentral's name for it is "tRNA-Leu". It matches the Rfam family "tRNA". From Rfam's summary of the family: Transfer RNA (tRNA) molecules are approximately 80 nucleotides in length. Their secondary structure includes four short double-helical elements and three loops (D, anti-codon, and T loops). Lineage: Eukaryota; Viridiplantae; Streptophyta; Polypodiopsida; Marattiales; Marattiaceae. The record is from RNAcentral.
GCCUUGAUGGUGAAAUGGUAGACACGCAAGUUUCAAAAUCUUGUGCUAUAGGCAUAGAGGUUCGAAUCCUCUUCAAGGCA